This 419-nucleotide long non-coding RNA is filed under the name Homo sapiens (human). RNAcentral describes it as "HSALNT0149761". The record is from RNAcentral. Lineage: Eukaryota; Metazoa; Chordata; Mammalia; Primates; Hominidae.
CUUAAUUAUGUCAUUUCCCCCCAGAAUUCUUAUGCUUUUUGGAUGCUAGCCCAUUAAAAAAAGGACAAAAUUUGGAAUCAUAUUGUUUACUCUAAUAACCUAGUCUAAAUCACGAUUCUAGAGAGAAGUGGUAAAGACUCAAAUUGUUAUUAUAUUAGAAACUUAGCCUUCUGAAGGCAAUAUUAGGGAAAAAGAACUCUAGGCCACAAUGAGAAUGAGAGUAGUUUAAACAGGAAAAGGAAGAAUCAGAGAGAUUAUUGAAAAUGCCAUCAACUAAGCAUAAUUCAAACAGAAAACAACAUAUAUAUAUAUAUAUAUUUUUUUUUUUCACCUAGGAUUAGUAAAUCAAGAAAAUUGUAUUACAAUUUUAUUGGAUGGUGAGUUCUAUAAUACACUAAGUAUAAAAAAAGAAGUAAAAG